RNAcentral lists this RNase P RNA (514 nucleotides) under Deltaproteobacteria bacterium. RNAcentral's name for it is "RNase P RNA component class A". It matches the Rfam family "Bacterial RNase P class A". From Rfam's summary of the family: Ribonuclease P (RNase P) is a ubiquitous endoribonuclease, found in archaea, bacteria and eukarya as well as chloroplasts and mitochondria. The record is from RNAcentral. Lineage: Bacteria; Pseudomonadati; Myxococcota; Myxococcia.
AAGCAAGGGCGCGCGGCCGCCGAGCACUCAAUUUACUGUUGCUGAGAAAAUCAAAUCCGCAGCAGUGAAUUGAGUGCUCGGAGGAAAGUCCGGGCACCGCAGGGCACCGUAGCGGCUAACGGCCGCCAUUUGCUCCGCAGAGAGUAAGUCUAUCAACAUACCCACCACAAACGGUGGGGGUUGAAGGGGGAGGAGUCAACUCCCCCUGAGCUUUAGCCGGCUCGGACUUGCUCCGAGCCGGCGAAUAGGACUAGUGCAACAGAAAGCAAGUACGGUGGCGUUGGCAACAACGCUACGCAGUAGUGAAAUCCGGCAAACUCUACGGGGUGCAAGGCCAAAUAGGCCGUGCAUUCUCCCUUUGGGGAGAAGAGAUCGGCCCGGUCUCUAUCUUCGGCCUUGAAAGGUCGGGGAAUGCGCGGUGGGUAGGCUGCUUCGAUCGCUUUCGCAAGAAAGCGGCUAGAGAAAUGACCGCGGCUCGGCAACGAGUACAGAACCCGGCUUACAGCCCUUCACA